This 698-nucleotide ribosomal RNA is filed under the name Faecalibacterium prausnitzii. Its description in RNAcentral is "bacterial SSU rRNA". It matches the Rfam family "Bacterial small subunit ribosomal RNA", at positions 438 to 1162 of the family's 1533-position model. The record is from RNAcentral. Lineage: Bacteria; Bacillati; Bacillota; Clostridia; Eubacteriales; Oscillospiraceae.
GUUGAGGAAGAUAAUGACGGUACUCAACAAGGAAGUGACGGCUAACUACGUGCCAGCAGCCGCGGUAAAACGUAGGUCACAAGCGUUGUCCGGAAUUACUGGGUGUAAAGGGAGCGCAGGCGGGAAGACAAGUUGGAAGUGAAAUCCAUGGGCUCAACCCAUGAACUGCUUUCAAAACUGUUUUUCUUGAGUAGUGCAGAGGUAGGCGGAAUUCCCGGUGUAGCGGUGGAAUGCGUAGAUAUCGGGAGGAACACCAGUGGCGAAGGCGGCCUACUGGGCACCAACUGACGCUGAGGCUCGAAAGUGUGGGUAGCAAACAGGAUUAGAUACCCUGGUAGUCCACACUGUAAACGAUGAUUACUAGGUGUUGGAGGAUUGACCCCUUCAGUGCCGCAGUUAACACAAUAAGUAAUCCACCUGGGGAGUACGACCGCAAGGUUGAAACUCAAAGGAAUUGACGGGGGCCCGCACAAGCAGUGGAGUAUGUGGUUUAAUUCGACGCAACGCGAAGAACCUUACCAAGUCUUGACAUCCCUUGACGAUGCUGGAAACAGUAUUUCUCUUCGGAGCAAGGAGACAGGUGGUGCAUGGUUGUCGUCAGCUCGUGUCGUGAGAUGUUGGGUUAAGUCCCGCAACGAGCGCAACCCUUAUGGUCAGUUACUACGCAAGAGGACUCUGGCCAGACUGCCGUUGACAAA